AUGAGGCUCCUCGACGCAGUGGAGCACCACCCGGAUGCCCCCACGCCUGGGCGCCGGCGGCCUGACGUAGUUGAGCGCCGCGACGAAAUUGACGUGGUCGUUGAGCGGGAACACGUACCCGGGCGCACCGAAGCCGUAGUCCACCUCGUCGAAGCCGAGACGACUCCAGUCCGACAACGUCACUGUGCUGUAGUCCAGCGGCGGCACGUCGUACUGCUCGACGCCGCGCAUCCAGCCCGCGAACCGAGCGGGAACCGCCUCCUUCGCCUCCCGUACCGCGCCGACCACCUCCGCCAGCGUGGCCUCCCGGACGGCCCUGCCGGUCCUCGUGGCGCACGCCAGGAAUACGCAGUUGCCGUAGUAGCCCUCCACCGUCGGCAGCACGCCGCGGAGAAGGUGCCGCGUGCUGGCGGCAAAGGCCAUCCGGACCUCGGCGUCGUCGGGGAGCGCCGACGCCAGCGCCAGCGCGCGGCACUUGAACACCACGGCCGUCACCGCGUCAAAGGUGGAGCACACCUCCCCCAUCGAUGUCGCGGCAGCCUGCUUGAACUCGUCCUUCACGCGCGCGAUGCUCUCCGCCGAGAUGUCGGCCACCUGGGUCACGAGCCUGAACUCCGUGAGCUGCCCCGGCAGCGGGCUUGGAGGGUCUGGGAUCGCGUCGCGGUCCCACACCGGAGCCACUGA
This 684-nucleotide ribosomal RNA is filed under the name Triticum aestivum (bread wheat). RNAcentral describes it as "partial small subunit ribosomal RNA". Lineage: Eukaryota; Viridiplantae; Streptophyta; Magnoliopsida; Poales; Poaceae. The record is from RNAcentral.